This 760-nucleotide ribosomal RNA is filed under the name Lichtheimia brasiliensis. RNAcentral's name for it is "eukaryotic LSU rRNA". The stretch from base 306 to 459 matches the Rfam family "5.8S ribosomal RNA". Lineage: Eukaryota; Fungi; Mucoromycota; Mucoromycetes; Mucorales; Lichtheimiaceae. The record is from RNAcentral.
UCCGUAGGUGAACCUGCGGAAGGAUCAUUACCAAGUGAGAAGAUUGACUCUAUAAAAACGGUCGGUCUUGCUCUUCUUGUGUGCAACGUCUGGUCGACAAUUGAGUUGACCACUGGAGUUUAAGUUUUCUAGUAUUGUGAAAGAUACUUGGAAGCAGCGACUCUAUGGCCUUUCGGCUGGUAUAGGACCAAGUUGAAAAACUUGGACUUUGCUAGUUUCACGUUUUACUUGAAACAGCCAGCCAAAGGUUACUUUAUUAACUUGUAUGAAUUGAUGUAAGAUUUAUUUAUAAAAGUUGUUAAAACAACUCUUGGCAAUGGAUCUCUUGGUUCUCGCAUCGAUGAAGAGCGUAGCAAAGUGCGAUAAUUAUUGCGACUUGCAUCCAUAGUGAAUCAUCGAGUUCUUGAACGCAUCUUGCACCUAGUGGUUUAUCCACUAGGUACGGUUGUUUCAGUAUCUGCAACUACCAAACAAAACUCUUUUGGGUUUUGGAACUGGGCUCUAGUUUAGUUGAUUCAAUUUGACUAAUGGCCUUAAAUUCAAGUUAAUCCUAGAUGUUUCUGUAAUGGAAAGAUCGGAUGGAGACUCUAUAGAGUUGAGAAAGCAGGCUUUGGGUUUGUGAAUUUUACCUAAAACCAAUUCAAGUCUUUUUCAAAUCUUGUCUCUAGUCAAACGGAUUAAAAAAAGUAAAAACUUCACAAUUAGAUCUGAAAUCAACUGAGGUUACCCGCUGAACUUAAGCAUAUCAAUAAGCGGAGGA